UCAGUUGUUUUAAUUUUGGAU
This 21-nucleotide non-coding RNA is filed under the name Caenorhabditis elegans. The record is from RNAcentral. Lineage: Eukaryota; Metazoa; Nematoda; Chromadorea; Rhabditida; Rhabditidae.